RNAcentral lists this ribosomal RNA (194 nucleotides) under uncultured bacterium. RNAcentral's name for it is "partial 16S ribosomal RNA". It matches the Rfam family "Bacterial small subunit ribosomal RNA", at positions 338 to 524 of the family's 1533-position model. The record is from RNAcentral.
CCUACGGGAGGCAGCAGUGGGGAAUAUUGCGCAAUGGGCGAAAGCCUGACGCAGCGACGCCGCGUGGAGGAUGACGGUUUUGGGAUCGUAAACUCCUGUUAGGUGGGAAGAAAAGCCUGUUUCUAAUACAAACAGGUUAUGACGGUACCACCAGAGAAAGCACCGGCUAACUUCGUGCCAGCAGCCGCGGUAAU